GCCUGAGUGGCUCAGUUGGUUGAGCAUCCGACUUCGGCUCAGGUCAUAAUCUCAUGGUUCACAAGUUUGAACCUUGCAUCGGGCU
Molecule: transfer RNA, 85 nt
Filed under: Felis catus (domestic cat)
Lineage: Eukaryota; Metazoa; Chordata; Mammalia; Carnivora; Felidae
Also listed under: 4 other names
Rfam family: tRNA
About the family: Transfer RNA (tRNA) molecules are approximately 80 nucleotides in length. Their secondary structure includes four short double-helical elements and three loops (D, anti-codon, and T loops).
Source: Rfam by way of RNAcentral